GAGCCGGCGGUGCGCACAAGGCGACGACGCGUGCGGAGAUGCGGGACGGCGGCGGCGCGAGCCGAGGCGUAGGAUGGCGGUCACAGAGGACGCACGCGGUUGGGGUCUUGGGGAGGGGCGGCCGGAGGACCUUUGGCUCCAUGGCCGGAAUCGGCAGGGAAGGUGACAAAUCGGGGCACGGCUCGGCCCGUUCAUUAGUGGGCCUAACGUUUAUUAGAGGUGGACCGGGCCCGGGCCCGGCACCGUUGGCCAACCCCUGCCACGGUGCCGCCGCGCUCCGCCCGUCAGUCGCCGCCGCCCCUCGUCUCUCCCCACGUCUCCCGUUAGCUCUCCUCUCCUCCUCCCAGCCUAGCCCCGCCGCCCGGAGGUAGCGCUCCUCCUCCCCCUCCUCCUCCUCCUCGGCCGCUUUGCCUUCUUGCUCCCCGGCCGCUCCCAUCCCAUCCUCAUCCUCCUGUGGUUGCGCCAGCCGCCUUAAGCUCGCCGCAUCCGUACAGAGCCGCCGAAUCUCCCGUUGCCCCACCGAACCGGCUCGCGAUGACAAGUGAACUAUAUUUGUAACUCUGCACAUUCACAUCGAAAAUUGUAGCUCUGCCCAAUGGACGCAGAGCAUGUGGAACGGGAAAACAGGCACCUCAAGAAGAAGAGGAAGCAUUGUGAGGGCAAGGCCAAGGAUAAAUCAAAGCGUCGGAGAGACCAAGAGGCAGCUGAGAUUAAGUCGGCAGCAGAUAUCCGAGGAAAUGGUGAGGAGGCUGCGAUAAGCAUUGUAGAAGAGGAAGGCCACAAGAGCAAGAAACAGAAGUGCCGCAGUAAGGGGGAGAAGAACAAGGUGAACGGUUCAGACCUUUUUGGUAGAACAAAUCACGGUGUUGGUAAGGAGCAGGCAAAAAAGUCAGGCUUGAUGGCAGUAAAACACUGUUUGGAGCAUGCCGAAGGUGAUACAAGCAAAGAUAAUGUGAAGAAAGACAAGAGAAAAAUAAGGAGGAUAAGAGGAGAAGAGCUGAGACGACUGGGCAGAAGCAGACGUUUGAUACUACUGUUGUUAAGGAGGCAUCUGAAAAGUUGGACUUGAGGGCGGUAAAUGAUACCAGCAAAGACAAUGUGAAGAAAGACAAGAAGAAAAAGAAAGAAGCUGGGACGACAAUGCAGAAGCAGAUAUUUGAUACAGCUAUUGCAGAUUUAGGGUCAGAUCAUGCAAAGAGAUACAAGGUUGAAGGGAAACUCUCUAGCAAUAGCAAGUUAAAGAAGAGCAAACAGAAGCGUAAAGAUGGUGAGCCUGCUUUAGACAUUUCUGCUUGUGAUCAAAUUGUGACAAGAGAAGAUAAUAAAAGACAGAAGGAGCAUUCGUUUGUUCUAGAGCAGAGCAGCCAAAAUUACAAUACUAACAAAGGUGAGAACAGAGAGAUCAAGGAGAGGGAAAAUGGAAGUGACAAAGCAAGUCCAGGCCUUAGCCCAAAUGGAUCUGCUGGGGGAGAGGAAGCUGAUAUAGAUGGUAAGAAUGAUAAGCAGAAAAGGAAGAGCAAGGAGGUCGUUGGAGGAGGAAAAAAGGAGAAAGAAAAGGCAGCUCGGUCAAAGAACAAGGGUAAGCGGGUGAGCUUUGCUGAUUCCAUGGAGGUGUUUACCAUUGAAGGUGGUGAUGAUGAAGACGGUGGUCGCAGUGGUGAAUCUAAACUUGUGCGUGGAAAGCGGUUUACCCCAGAGGAAGAUACCAUCCUCAUGGAAGCUAUGAAGAAUUACGCAGAGAUGAAGCAACUUGGGGAGAAAGGCUUGGAAAUGUUUCGUAAUUCUUCAAAACACCCAGAGCUCAAGGGCUGUUGGAGUGAUAUAGCGGAAUCGUUACCCCAUAGACCCCUUGGUGCCACAUACAGACGAGCGAAUGUAUUACUCUGUAGGAGUGCUGAACGUAAAUGGACACAGGAAGAAUAUGAAAAGAUUCGAUGGUUUGUCGAAGAAAAUGGCACGGAUUGGAAGACACUGGCACAGGAACUUGGAAAGAGUCGUAUCCAUGUAAAAGACGCUUGGAGAAGAAUAAAACCUAAGAAUUUGAAAAAAGGAAGAUGGACUCAGGAGGAGAUUCAAAUCCUGUUUGAUUUGGUGAACAUUGACUUGCGUCUGAAAGCCCGUGAAGAGAAAAAGAUUGAUGAUCAUCGUGUGCUCAAAGAUAACAUUUCCUGGGAGGCUAUCAGUGAUAAGAUGACCACCCGCAGUCACAAGUUUUGCUGCCUGAAGUGGUAUCAAUCAUUGGCAUCUCCGCUUGUUCAACAAGGAAUCUGGGCAGAUGUUGAUGAUUAUCUACUGGUGGAAGCGCUUCAAAAGAUUGAUGCUGUUUGUAUUGAAGAUGUUGAUUGGGACUGCCUUCUCGAUCACAGGCGAGCGAUGAGCCCCUGAGUACUGAUCUAGCUCGCAACCUUGCAAAAAUAUGUCAUGCUCUUAAUCACAUAGUAGAUAUACCAUUAGAUCUGAAUGUUAUCUAAGAUGAAAAAUAGUGAUUGGUGGAUCAAUGGAGCCCCAAAACUUUAUCAGCUCAAAGAACCAAAAGCAUCCAGGUCUGUAGGUGUGUCCCAGCAAAGCAUGUUCUCAAUUCAACUUCUUCAUUGUUGUUUCAUGACCCACAAAUUUGGAUCAUGUACUGGGUUUAAUUAAAUCCUCUUAAUAACCCUGACAUACACUAGUACUGUUUAGUGUUGGAUUAGAGAUACUCAGUAUUUCCACAGAACCCUUGGGCCUCAUGUCAAUUUGCAGAUGGAAUGCAUUUGCAUACACAAACGAAUUCCCCUAUCCUUUUCUGUUUAGAUA
Molecule: RNA transcript, 2793 nt
Organism: Brachypodium distachyon (stiff brome)
Lineage: Eukaryota; Viridiplantae; Streptophyta; Magnoliopsida; Poales; Poaceae
Gene name: cyclin-D-binding Myb-like transcription factor 1
Exons: 10
Source: RefSeq, a predicted model, not a curated record